CACUUCCUUCUCAGCUCUCCUGCACUUCUGCCUCCUGCACUCACAUAGCCCUUGGGGGGGCUUCCUAAUCCUCCUCCCUCAACUUUGCUUUCCUGGCCAGGAAAAGGAGGAGCCAGAGGGGCAGUGAUACCAUCUGCACUGCCUGGGCAGCAGCUUUGCCUUCCUGUGUCCCAACGUAAGCUUAUUCAAUAGGUGUGGUACAAAGAAUCGCCUCAGUCUUUAACAUAUUCCAGCUUUUUAAGGAACUUCAGAAGCAAGUGCAAAACCGCCCAGGUGAAGAUCCCAUCUGGGCUGUCCUUAUCCAGAAUGUUCACCUUCCUGAACUCCACCACUAUAAAUUCUGUUUUUUUUUCCUCAAGAUUUUGUAUAUGUUUAGUUUAAACCUAUAUCGGUAUAUGUUGUAUCUUACAUUAUAUUGUUAUCCUACAUUAUAAGUUCCUUGAGAACAGAAA
Molecule: long non-coding RNA, 452 nt
Organism: Antechinus flavipes (yellow-footed antechinus)
Lineage: Eukaryota; Metazoa; Chordata; Mammalia; Dasyuromorphia; Dasyuridae
Exons: 3
Source: RefSeq, a predicted model, not a curated record